Molecule: ribosomal RNA, 505 nt
Filed under: uncultured bacterium
Lineage: Bacteria
Description: partial 16S ribosomal RNA
Rfam family: Bacterial small subunit ribosomal RNA
Source: RNAcentral
ACGAACGCUGGCGGUAGGCCUAACACAUGCAAGUCGAACGGCAGCACAGGAGAGCUUGCUCUCUGGGUGGCGAGUGGCGGACGGGUGAGGAAUACAUCGGAAUCUACUUUUUCGUGGGGGAUAACGUAGGGAAACUUACGCUAAUACCGCAUACGACCUACGGGUGAAAGCAGGGGACCUUCGGGCCUUGCGCGAUUGAAUGGGCCGAUGUCGGAUUAGAUAGUUGGCGGGGUAAAGGCCCACCAAGGCGACGAUCCGUAGCUGGUCUGGGAGGAUGAUCAGCCACACUGGAACUGAGACACGGUCCAGACUCCUACGGGAGGCAGCAGUGGGGAAUAUUGGACAAUGGGCGCGAGCCUGAUCCAGCCAUACCGCGUGGGUGAAGAAGGCCUUCGGGUUGUAAAGCCCUUUUGUUGGGAAAGAAAUCCAGCCGGUUAAUACCUGGUUGGGAUGACGGUACCCAAAGAAUAAGCACCGGCUAACUUCGUGCCAGCCGCCGCGGUAA